UUUUUUUUUUGCUUCGUAAGUGUGGUGAUUGGGUGUUCACACCAUUUCAUGCAAUGUACCUUCCCUCAAACCUUGUAACAAAGUCAGCACAUUACCUGUCUUAUG
Molecule: small nucleolar RNA, 105 nt
Organism: Nannospalax galili (Upper Galilee mountains blind mole rat)
Lineage: Eukaryota; Metazoa; Chordata; Mammalia; Rodentia; Spalacidae
Product: small nucleolar RNA U13
Exons: 1
Source: RefSeq, a predicted model, not a curated record